UCAAGCUAAGAAGAGCAUAAGGUGAAUGCCUUGGCACCGGAAGCCGAAGAAGGACGCGACAAGCUGCGAAAAGCCGUGGGGAACCGCAAAUAGGUAUUGAUCCACGGAUGUCCGAAUGGGGAAACCCCGCAUAAACAUAAUAUGCGAGCGUAUGCUGAAUAAAUAGGUAUACGCGGGGAACCUCCCGAACUGAAACAUCUCAGUAGGGAGAGGAAAAGAAAUCAAACGAGAUUCCGCGAGUAGUGGCGAGCGAAAGCGGAAGAGGCUAAACCGGAGGUAGCAAUACCACCGGGGUUUUGGACUGUAAUAUGUAGUUUCAGAGAUAGCGGAACGCGAUGGGAAGCGCGGUCAUAGAGGGUGAGAGCCCCGUACGCAAAAUUGAAGAGACGCUAACAGGAUCCGAAGUACGUGCGAGCACGAGGAAUUCGCACGGAAGACGGGGGGCCCACCCUCCAAGCCUAAAUACUAACCGGUGACCGAUAGAGAAGCAGUACUGUGAAGGAAAGGUGAAAAGAACCCCGAGAGGGGAGUGAAAUAGGACCUGAAACCUUAUGUUUACAAGCACACAAAGAGGAUUAAGCCUCGAUGUGGUACCUUUUGUAGAAUGGUCCGGCGAGUUAUUGUACGCGGCAAGGUUAAGCGUUUAAGACGCGAAGCCGAAGGGAAACCGAGGGUUAAGAGCCCGAACAAGUCGCGUGUAAUAGACCCGAAACCGGGUGACCUAUCCAUGUCCAGGUUGAAGUGAGGGUAAAACCUCAUGGAGGACCGAACCGACCCCCGUUGAAAAGUUGGCGGAUGAGGUGUGGAUAGCGGAGAAAUUCCAAUCGAACCCGGAGAUAGCUGGUUCUCCCCGAAAUAGCUUUAGGGCUAGCCUUGGAUGAAUAUUAGCGGAGGUAAAGCACUGAAUAGGUAAGGGGGCGAAAGCCUACCGACCCUUAUCAAACUAAGAAUACCGCGUAAUAGUGUCCGGGAGUCAGACAGUGUGAGAUAAGUCUCAUUGUCAAAAGGGAAACAGCCCAGACCCACAGCUAAGGUCCCAAAUAUACGCUAAGUGGAGAAGGAUGUGGCAUUGCGAAAACAACCAGGAUGUUGGCUCAGAAGCAGCCACACAUUCAAAGAGUGCGUAAUAGCUCACUGGUCGAGUGAAGCUGCGCCGAAGAUUUAGCGGGGCUAAGCGUAUAACCGAAGCAUGGGCAGACUGGGGUAGUUAAUAAUUAAUAGUUAAUAAUUAAUAGUUCGGAGAACGGUAUGCAGAGCGAGAGUAUAGUGCAGGCAAAGAGCAUGUCGUUUGCAAUCAGAAUCGUGAAUCUGAGUCGAUAUUUGAGCGAAGAGCAUAAGGAAUUUGUGCUGAGCAAACAAUUAUUGAAAAGCGGAACGAGUAUAGGCGCAAACAUCAGCGAAGCAGAAUACGCGCAAAGCAAAAUUGAUUUCACAGCGAAGAUGAGUAUAGCACUCAAAGAAGCCGCGGAAACAAAAUACUGGAUAGAAUUAUUAAGGGAAACCGAGUACCUGAGAGAAGAAGAAUACCGAAGCAUGAAAGCUGACUGCGUCGAAAUGAUAAAAAUGCUGACAGCAGUUGUCAAACGGUCAAAAGAGAUUUAGGCGUUGCCUGAACUCAAAAAAGAUCGUGUACGAGCUUCAUGGACGAGUAAUAUUCACUAUUAACUAUACAUUAUUAACUGCCUCAGCCUGGGUAGGGGAGCGUCGAAUAUGGGGUGAAGCAUCAGCGGAAGCAGGUGUGGACUGUAUUCGAGUGAGAAUGCCGGAAUGAGUAGCGAGAAUUGCGUGAGAAUCGUAAUGGCCGAAAAUCUAAGGUUUCUAAUGGUAGGUUCGUCCGCAUUAGGUAAGCCGGAAGCUAAGGCGAGGCCGAAAGGCGUAGUCGAUGCACAUACGGUAGAAAUUCCGUAGCCUCCGAAAUUGUUAAGUAUACUGACACCUGAGAAUAGUUCAACCCCGGCGAUGGUCGACCGGGGCGAAAGGGACUGAAACACAAGUAGGGAAGUGAAUGAAAAUCAGGGCGAGAAAAGGUAUAUGUAUUAGUUAGGAGUCCGUACCGCAAACCGACACAGGUAGAUGAGGAGAAGAUCCUAAGGCCAACGGGAGAAGGGUUGUUAAGGAACUCGGCAAAUUGACCCCGUAACUUCGGGAUAAGGGGAACCCUAUGCAAAUAGGGUCGCAGUAAAAAGGUCCAGGCGACUGUUUAUCAAAAACACAGGUUUCUGCUAAACCGAAAGGUGAAGUAUAGGAGCUGACGCCUGCCCGGUGCUGGAAGGUCAAGGGGAAGUGUCAGGAGCAAUCCGAAGCACAGAACUUAAGCCCCAGUAAACGGCGGCUAUAACUAUGAUAGUCCUAAGGUAGCGAAAUUCCUUGUCAGGUAAGUUCUGACCUGCACGAAUGGCGUAACGAUCUGGACACUGUCUCAACAGCCUCCCCGGCGAAAUUGUUGUACCGGUGAAGAAGCCGGUUACCCGCGACUAGACGGAAAGACCCCAUGGAGCUUUACUAUAGCCUGAUACUGGAACCCGGUAAAUUAUGUAGAGAAUAGGUGGGAGACUGAGAAACGAGGGCGUCAGCUUUCGCGGAGUCACCUUUGGAAUACCACCCUUAAUUUACUGAGUUUCUAACCUGCGCCCCUGAAUCGGGGCGGGGGACAAUGUCAGGUGGGUAGUUUGACUGGGGCGGUCGCCUCCAAAAAAGUAACGGAGGCGCUCAAAGUUCGGCUCAGCGCGGACGGAAAUCGCGCAUAGAGUGUAAACGCACAAGCCGGAUUAACUGCGAGACAGACAAGUCGAGCAGAGACGAAAGUCGGAGUUAGUGAUCAGGUGGUAGUGAGUGGAAAUGCCAUCGCUUAACGGAUAAAAGUUACCCUGGGGAUAACAGGCUGAUCUCCCCCAAGAGUUCACAUCGUCGGGGAGGUUUGGCACCUCGAUGUCGGCUCAUCACAUCCUGGGGCUUGGAUAAGGUCCCAAGGGUUCGGCUGUCCGCCGAUUAAAGUGGUACGCGAGCUGGGUUCAGAACGUCGUGAGACAGUUCGGUCCCUAUCUGUCGUGGGCGCAGGAAAUUUGAGAGGAGCUGUCCUUAGUACGAGAGGACCGGGAUGGACACACCUCCGGUGCACCGGUUGUUCCGCCAGGAGCAUAGCCGGGUAGCCGCGUGUGGCAGUGAUAAACGCUGAAGGCAUCUAAGCGUGAAACAUACCUCAAGAUUAGAUUUCCCACAGCACAAGCUGGUAAGGUCACUUACAGACUAUGAGUUUGAUAGGUCGGAGGUGUAAGCACGGUAACGUGUUCAGCUGACCGAUACUAAUAGACCGAGGGCUUGAAC
RNAcentral lists this ribosomal RNA (3324 nucleotides) under Clostridia bacterium. RNAcentral describes it as "23S ribosomal RNA". It matches the Rfam family "Bacterial large subunit ribosomal RNA". The record is from RNAcentral. Lineage: Bacteria; Bacillati; Bacillota; Clostridia.